GAUGAAGAACGUAGUGAAAUGCGAUAAGUAAUGUGAAUUGCAGAAUUCAGUGAAUCAUCGAAUCUUUGAACGCACAUUGCGCCCGCCAGUAUUCUGGCGGGCAUGUCUGUUCGAGCGUCAUUUCAACCCUCAAGCCCAGCUUGGUGUUGGGGAUCGGCACAGGCGCCCUCGGGCGCCCGCCGUCCCCUAAAUCUAGUGGCGGUCCCGCUGCAGCCUCCUCUGCGUAGUAGUUUUCUCCUCGCAAGGGCAGCUCGGUGGCGACCUCGCCGUAAAACCCCCAACUUCUGAAAGGUUGACCUCGAAUCAGGUAGGAAUACCCGCUGAACUUAAGCAUAUCAAUAAGCGGAGGA
RNAcentral lists this unclassified non-coding RNA (350 nucleotides) under soil metagenome. Its description in RNAcentral is "partial contains 5.8S ribosomal RNA, internal transcribed spacer 2, and large subunit ribosomal RNA". The stretch from base 1 to 120 matches the Rfam family "5.8S ribosomal RNA", at positions 35 to 154 of the family's 154-position model. The record is from RNAcentral.